CUCUGUUCAAAAGUUCAACCCAAAUGGUCGCCAAGGGAAAAUGGAAAACCACAGAAUUACAAGUUAUAGCCGGAAAUGUAACAGAAAGGGGCGGCGUUAACCGUGCAUGUAAGGUUUGUGGGAUCUAAGAGAACUGAUAGAAGUUGGAUGAGUGUGAGAUAAUUGCAGAGUUCUGAACAGGAGGCAAUUUGAUCACAAAUUUUGAGUCCUGACCACAUUGUUUUAUGUUGCCUUAAAUAUUCUUAUUAGCAGCGUGCAUUACGGAAGAGAUGAAUCCUCUAUGGUUCUCCUUUCAUUUUAACACUUCUUCAUACAACCGGAGGAUGCCUUUCUUAAUUCCUACUCGGAUCAGGCUAAUUUUACUUCUGUCUUAGCUAUAACAGCACAAACAUUUGAUCAAGGUUUCAAGCACAAGAAAGAGUACAAACAUAUAAAUAAAAAAAAAAUGCAUCACAUUAGACACAAUGAUUACUCUUGUCAAGUUUGAGAGCAAGAUAUUACUUCAAUGUCAAUGCAAAUAAGUUUUAAGUAUCAAAGAAAUCAAGAAAAUAAGAACUCAAUAAACAGUUAAUAUGGUAUCUCUAAGCUUUAUUUUCAACAUUUCACCUUAAAAGCUUACCCCAACAACUUUGCCAUAUGUAUUGAAUUGUCACAAAUUGUAAUUUUCUGAGCAAAUUCAUACUUCCAAAGAAUACCGGGGACUAUUGCCAUAACUUUACCUACUAGUCAGCCAAAAUCAAAUCAUAGAGAACAAUUUAUUAACUACAAAAUCCGAUAACAGAAACGGAUAAGGGGUACCAUUCUGCCUCCAUCAAGGAGAAGAGGAGAAUCACAGAGAGAAAAGUAGAGGGCCUUUUUGGUUGAGCAAUCAACAGCAGAAUCUGAUCUUGAAAUGAUAUCUUGAUAAUCAGAUGGUAGAAAUUUCUCCCAAAUAGUAUCAGAAUCAGCAGCAGGCUUGAACCCUUUUGAGACAACUGAUGCUCUGAUCACAUCCACAGGUGAAGUGAGUGAUAGAAUCUCAGACAUGAAGCCUUCUGGCAAUCUGGCAAAAAAAGGGCCUUCCAUCUCAUAGGACAGCAGCUAUUCCACUGUUCUUCUUGCUUAACGUGGAAGUGAUGGCUAGAGGACUCAACAGAGGCAAAUUCUUAUAGAAAAUAGAGUACUAUUGAAAACAAAGGAACAGAGAAUGGAGUCUUAGCAAUUAAGGAGCGUCGCUGUUUUUGAUUCGAAUAAUCUGUAUAUCAGUCCACCAUCGUCAAAAGCACUGGCCAUGUCCUGAGAAAGCGCGGCCUAUGGUGGGAUACAAUAUAGCGCCUUUGACUGGACGUAUAGUUUGAUGCAUUCAGCAAAUCACGCCUUGGAGAAAUACAUUUUUCAAUAAUAGAUAAUCAUUUCAAUUAUUUGAGAGACAUUUUACGUCAUUUAAAACGUACAAUGUACAUUGAUUUUCCUUUUUUUUUUUUCUUUUGAAUUUAAGUAAUGAAUGUUCAAUUGCGCAUUAAGCACUUGUGGAAUCUAUGUUACUUUUUUUUUUUUUCCUUUUUGGAAAAAAGACUGUGUCUAAUUGUAGGGCACAAUAAUUGUGAUUGUUAGUAUUCACAUGUUAAAUUUCUUCUUUUGUAUUUUUGUACCAUUCAAAGCCUGCCCUAAAAAAAAAAACAAAGACAGACCAUGAGGCUUGAGGCUACCGCAAGAAACUAAAGUAAAUAACAGUGUUUUGAAAACCGGACCGGACCAGCCGGUUCGACCUGUUGGGCUGCGAACCGGUCAUGGCUCCGGUCCGGUUCUAUGCUAUAAUUGACCAGGUUAGAAAAUCGGUCAAAAACCAGUUAAACCGUGAAAACCGCCGGACCAGAUUGAACCGGCGGUUUCCGAUUUUUGAGUUUUUUUUUUUUUUUUUUUUUUAACGUUUUGCAAAAUGCAGCUAUCAAGAUUCGAACUCAAGACCUUUGUAAUAAAAGACCAAUAUAGUAACCAUUGCACCAUCACAUCUUAUCAAUUUUUUUUGAUAACUUAUUUAUAUAAAACAAAAACGCAUAUUUCUUUUUGUCAUUUUUUUUACAAAAUCUAAUUCUCUCAUGGCUCUUUCUUUUUAAUCUUCAACACACACACACACACACACUCUCACUCUCUCCUCUUUUUUUUUUUGUCACUCUUUUUUUAAUCAAACCACUUUAUUUUUAAUUUAUUGAUGUUUUCUUCCAUCUUUUAAUUUUAUUUUUGUCCAUUAAAUUGAAAAAGGUUAAAAAAGAAUUAUUUUUCUUUAACCCAAAUUAUUUAAUGCCACAACUACUCACUUUUAUCUCAUUUUUUUAUUUCUUAUCAAGUUUGCAUUUCUAUUUUCGAUUCUCUUGAUUUCUUUCGAACUCCAAAAUUCCUUUUUUAAAUUGCAAUCUCUAAAUCCCAAAACGUAAAUUAAAAUUUAAGUUCACAAAAUCUAAAUUCUCAUAGACAUGAAUUUUGUAUAAUUUUAAAAUAUUAUGAUAUUUUUUGGUUAGAUCUAAGAUUUUUUUGGUAGAUAUAAUUGAAAUUGAAAUGAAAUUUAUUUAUUUUAACUUAUAAUUUAAAAUUUUUAUUUUUAAAAAAUCAAGUUAUUCAAAAAUAGUAAACUUUUCAUCAUAUAAUGUAUUAAAUUAGUCCAUUACAUGUCUUAUUUUGUACAUAAAUAUUUAUAUAAAUUAUUUUUUAAAAAAUUCAUUGAAUCGAGGUUGAACCGGUCCGAUCGGCUGAAUCUCGACCCUUUCACGUCAUCGAUUCAAUUAAGGGUCCGAUUUUUAAAACAUUGGUAAAUAAAGCCCGCAGGCCCGUUUUACCGGCACUCCUAACUCCUAAGAGUUGCCGAUCGGCCGUACCUCUUUUCCUCGAUGAAUAUGUUGAUUCGUAAUUUGUUGUCUCCUCCUCCGUCUUAAACCCUACUGAGAGUGGCAGAAUCCCAAUUGAUUGAAUCAUCCAUGGCUAUGAUUUCCCACUUGCCCCGUGAUUUGCUUGGUGACAUUCUAAAAUUUCUGCCAGUCAAGGCCCGUCUGUCGAUUCAAAUGCGUAUCGAAAUCAUGGCAUUCUGUAAUCCAGAGUCGUGAAUUUGUGAAGUUGCACCUUCAGAUUCACCAGCACAAGUGUGACGGUGAGAAAAUCUUUAUGCCAACUCAAUUUUGCUCUGCUUAUAAUGAUCCUGAUUUUUACAUCUUGGACACAUCGAGUUUAGCUGGUAGUGAAAAUCCCAGAGCUCAAAAAGUUGAAAUUCCCGUAGGAAGGCGUUGUAUUCUUCUAUCUACAAUUGUUUGUGCUUGUAAUGGUUUGCUCUUUAUUGCUUUGGAUAAUGAAAGGGUUUUGUUCGUGUGGAACCCCUCCACGGGAAAAUUGAGAAGGAUUCCAACACUGAAGUCAUCAUCAUCACAUUUUGAUCUGUUAUAUGGGUUUGGAUAUGAUUCACUGCAUGAUGAUUACAAAAUUCUUAGAGUUUGUUACGACAAUGGUACCUAUGAUUGUUGGUUGUUUUCGUUGAAAGAAAAUACCUGGAGAAAAUUAAAUGAUCGGGUUCUGAAUGGUUAUGGGACUUGCAACAUCGAUCAGGUUUUGAAUGAUGCUUACACUGGGGCUGAAAAACGUGCUGUUAUUGUCUGUGUUAAUGAUUCCGCCUACUUUAUCGUGCAAAAAGAAGGAAAGAAGUAUAAAGUUUUGUCUGUCAGUUUGGCUGAAGAAAGAUUUGUUGAGAUGUUGCCUCCUCCUUGUGAGGUUGUGGGAGCUGUCCCAAUCUUGAAGGUUUUGGCAGGACGGCUUAGUCUGCAAUGGAGGACUUCUGCCAACCACGAUUUUGUGGUGUGGACAUUGAUGGAUGAUGGAAAUAGCAGCUAUUGGACUAAGAUUAUAUCUAUUCUGUGUUCGGAAACACUGGUGGGCCUGGAACCAAUUUGCAUGAUGCGAAAUGGACAUUUUGUGGUUAGGACGAAGCCUGAAAGGGAACUUUUCAUAUAUGACAUGAAAAAGAAGGCAUUUCAACAAGUAUUCAAGAAUGAGAAUCCAGAUGUUCAUAUCUGCAGUUUCAAGAAUACUGUGGUAUACACAGAAAGUUUAGUUCAUCCGUGUGAUUAUGGGGACAAGGUUGAGGAGUGGACGUCAGCAAUUGAAGACAUGAAAGAGGUUGGUUUCUUGCUGCCUUAUCAUUUGUUUGAUCAACUGCUUGUUUCAUCUUGUUUGGUGUUUGUUAACUUUUGUUCAGUUUAUCUGAAUCAAAAAGUAAUAAGUUGCAAAUCUUCUUACUCAGUAGUACUGAAUUUUUGUGUUUUAAAGACGGCGCUUAUUGAUUAAGAUAGAAAUCCUACAUGUAGAUCUGAUUACAAGAAUACUGUUUUUUAUCUAACUAUGUAAACUUAGCCAGUUGAACUAGCUCAUAUAUCUAAGGUUAAUGAGUGUAGAAAACUAAUGAGGAAUAAGUUCUUGAUUUUAUAUGUAGAUUCAGCCAAUAGAGGAGAUUGAUUACCACAUAAAAUACUCUAGUAAUGAGAUGUGAAACCUGUAGGCUGUAAUAAUUAAUGUUUGUUUGUCAUAUAUCCUCCAUCAUGAAUAGAUUCCUGAGCCAAGUCAUUCUUUUCAUUCCAUGAAUAAAAUUGGAAAGGAACACAAUCUGCAUUAUUUUGUUCUCUCUAUAUUUAUAUGCCAUUACAGCAAGUAUAUAGUCUCUAUCCUAACCAGUAUUUUUUUUUUCUGAUCUUCCCGUCUCAGUCUUUAAUGUUGCAGACUAAGAGGCAAUUCUCUUCCUGCUGUGGUGAGUGCUGACUGGACACACACACACACACACUUCCUGCUCAUUGCACAACAAACAUCAAGAAGCAAAAUUUCUUUCUAUUUGGGAACAACGGCGGCCAGCAGAACAUUUUCUUUAGGUUUUUUUAUGAUAAAGUGCUUGUGUUCAAGUCCAGAGCUUGAAUACAAAACCUCAUUUUGUCGCACCAAGCAUUCACCCUUUUUUGUGUUGAGAUUCAAAUUAUGUUUCAGCAGAAGUUUAGACAUGUAUAACCUCAUUGUUUAACAAAGUGAAAGCUGUGACUUACAUGAAUAGUUUAGUUUUGCCCAAGCGAUCAUGGAAACAAUUUUGGAAAUAAUAGAUCAGCAAUCAAUUUCAAUCCAGGGGAAGGCUAUGUUCUUGUUUUCUCUCGUGAUUUUCUUGUGGAGUGCCUUUUAGUCUUGUCAACCUCACCACUUACUGACCAGAAAUCCAUGGUGUACUCGAGCCAGAAAGCAGUUGCUACUUGCGUUGUGCUUUAAUUGGCACCUUCUUGUGUUUCAAAAUAUGGUUUACGAUUAAAGAGGACAUCUUGCUUGUUUUACUCCACACACUCUUUAAUUUAAAUGCUCUGCUAGACACCUUCCUGUUCUUCAAGUUCGUACUUUUCAUACUUUAUUGUUUUUUUUUAAUGGCUAUGUGUAUUGACAUUUUGUCAAAUUUAAUCCUUGAUGUUAUGUAAUAUAUAUUGCCAACAAAGCCAUCUUGUUGAAAUACAUUAUUAUUAUUAUUAUCAUAUCCUUUUCAAAUCUUAAUUUUACAUCCAUCCCUGGCCUGGUUCUCCUCCUCUGCCUAUGCCUAGUAGGGUAUUGUACCAGCUUUCUUUCUAACUGCAUGGCCUCUAUCAUCCGUGAUCUGCAUAUAAAGAUUAUCAUUCAUUUUCCUAAAGCUACCCACUCCAGUCUACAUUUAGGAAAUUCAAAUCAAUUUCAACAUCACCAAGCAUCCAAUUGAAGCUUCCUUCAAACAAAAAUCAAGGUAAAGACCUUCGAGUUCUUUCGCCAUCCAAGGGCAAUCUUUACAACACACAUCUUCAGCCAAAGCUUUGUUGAAAACGUCUAAUGGCUUUUAUCUUUCCCAGCCCGCCAAAAAUGGCAGAAAAAAUGUCGUCCCGCAGAAGUUGAGGCGAAAGUCCCAUUGGAAUUCUUCAUUUACAGCUCGGUUAUGAUAUUCAAGCUCAUAAGAUUGGCAAAGGAUGAUUAAGGGAAUGGUGUUAUUAGGCAGACCAUUGGUGACACGAACUUGAUAUCUGGGGGAGAAAAGAUGAGAAAUCACCUGAAUAUAUGGGGGGGCAAAACACAAUGAACUAACUCCUACACGGAAAACUCUUGCUGGAUAUUUUAGAGCCCGAAAACAAAAUAGUAGUUUAGAUACAAUUAUGCCUAAUCAGAUGAUGUAAUUCCAGAUUCCAGCCAAUCAACUUCCUGACUACAGAAUUCCUAUGUACUUGGGAAUUUUAGGCAUAUUUGGGUGAGAAGAGGACAAAAUACUUAGGUUGUGUUUGGAUUGCAUUUUUCAUAGAAACAUUACUGUAGCGAUUUGAUGUAUGUGAGGGAAAAAGGUAAUAGGAAAAUGUGAUUACGAAAAACGACGUAAUUUUUCGACGAAAAACAGCAAUCCAACACAAGACCUUAGGUUUUUAUAUAUACUUAAAAAAAACUCCACACUCAUAUCUACUCAAUAAUCAAUUACACAAAGAUAACAAUAGAUAGCAAGCCAAAUUCCUAAUGCGUGCAUUGAAAUGUCAUCUAUCUAAUCAUAUCAAGGCUUUAAAUUUAGAACUUUAUUAUUUUGAGUCGCCGAAAAAUGACAAAUAUUGGGGAUGGAGGUAUUGAUUAGUAAAGUAAACAUAGGAAAUACAAAGAAAGCAAGACAGAAGGAAAAAGAAAAUUCGUAAUGGUAGCUUCCUAUACCAAUUAGAUAUAUGUGUAUAGUUACAUAUAUGUAUUCUUUAUUGCUCAUCAGAUACUACAUUUUUCAUUCCAUAAAAUAAGUAUACAUUAGUAUUUUGGGAAUUUACAUAUUUUGUCACAUUUUUAAUGUUAUACUUCUUUACACUACGUAAUAGAGUGACACAUGUUCCUUUAUUUUACAUUAAGGAUAGUUGCGGAUCAUGUAAGAAUAGUUGGUGGAUGAUGUCUUCUGGCUAAUAUUACGUCAAAAGGCACCAGCUCAUGUAAUUCUUUUUCACAAGAAAAGUGCAAUGGCUGAGUUUGUUCAUGAGAAACCAGCUCAUGAAAUUCUUUUUCAUAAAUGACCACGUGGAUUCUCAAACCUGCAGAGAUUAUAAAGCCAAAGGCUACCAGGUGUAUAUACACAAGCACAAAUGGAGAGAUUCUGGAAUUCGUCCACGAAAAUAAGGAGUCAUUCUCUUGUUUUACAAUAAGAAGCCAAAGAUCAAUAUUCCAAGAAAUAUUCCAAGUUCAAGAGACAGGUUUGGAAGGACCAAAACCUUUAGAGAAGUUCAAAGAAGCUGCACAACAAGUGUGCAUGACAGCCAAAAUAAUGACUACUAUAGACACCAAGGCUGAUAUAAGGAGUAGGAGGUCAAGCAUAAUUGUUUCUAACAAUCUGCAGGUAUAGAAUCAGUCUUCAACAGUCUUCCAUCCAUGGACACGAGACAUUUCAUGUUUGGAACACAAGAGACAAAGUCUUGGGGAGCGCAGAGCCGCAACACAUUUAAACUGUUCUCAAAGAGCAAUUGAUAUUAGUACCAUGAAACACAUUGUACAAGGGAUGAAACAGCAUAGGAUUCACUGCACUUCAUGUCAUAUAGCAACAGAUAAUCACCUCAGGGCCAUAAAUUAAUAUGAAAUGCAGUUUUUCCUAUUUAAAAAUCCCCAUCAGAAGGUUGAUGAGUACUUUAUGGCUUCUUUAGCUGAGGACAAGCAAGACAAUUCCAAGCUGUUUAUUUACUAGUAUGCCAAACCAAAGCGCUAACCUUAAUCUUGGUUCUCACAAAGAACAAUAAAAAAAAUCCAGAUCUUAUUAGACCUCCCAAUUUGCCCAAAACUAAGAAAGAAAAACUAAUUGAUCAGUGACAAGAUGGCAUGAAAAGUAUAGCAUAUAGCUACAUACUAGGUUGGCAAAAUCUAUCUAGCAACUGAGACACUAGAUUUUAUUUUCUAAACUAAACAGUAGCAAGAGAGACUUUACAUUAAGUGCAAAAUGAGAGCAAAAAAAAUACUAGUUGGAGGAAGGAAUGAGAUAACACUGAGCACUUAGAAGUCCAGAAAUCCCAAAUCGCUUGAUAAAUAAUUCCAAAUUGCUUCACCAACAAGUCCAAAUUUGAAAAUUUGAAUGGACUAACAGGGAAUACUUGAUUUUAUGCAAGACAAAUACUGGAUUUCAUGAAUGGAAUCUAAGCGAUGAGUUUACAGGGAAGCUCUGAAACUAGGAAAUGUUCAAAUUUUUUUUGGGGGGGGGGGGGGGGAGUGGAGGAAACUCAAGAGUCUGGCAUUUGUGUCUUAAGUUGGGUUUGUUUGAUUACAGCAGGUUGAAGUUCUUUUUCUUGCCAGGGCGAGGGCUGCUUUGGCUGGAGUUUGCAGCAACCAGGCAAAGAGCUUUGAGCUUCAACGGGCUUUGUGCCUCUGUUUUCUUGUUCUAGUUUGGACAAAUUUACCUGUUUUCUUGAACUACAAAUUGUUCAAGGCCUAAUAAGCUAGCAGUACUAGAGAAUUACUGGCGUUCUCCUGGUAGAAAGUCCUUUUUUCUACUAUGGACGUCAUAGUAUCAACAAAAGUCACAGUGAUUUGGAGCUAAAUUACACUUUUGCAUCAUGAAUAAACUGUCAAAGAAGAACCACUCGAAUGUAUGCAAUUUUAACAUCGUACAAAAGUGAACAUGAAGCCAGAAGAGAGAUUAGUCCCUAAUUCUUCUGUUGUUGUAUUCCCAUUUUACCUUAAAGUUGGCAAGCGACGAGAUUGAAACCAAUUACAGGGUCCACCUGUUGCUAAAUGUAUACUGAUUUAUCUUCAAUUUGUGAUCAUGGAAGUAGCUUCACUAUCUCAUGCUUUCUUGUAUAGAUACUCCUUUACUUUAUUUCAUGCUUGUACAGAGAAGUUGAUGGUUAGGCAUUCCCCUUAUCUGGUGUAUGUGAUUUUGCUAUCGAUAAAGAUAUAGAGAUUACAUAAAAUAAAUAAGAAGAUAAAUAAACACACAAAAAAUAAUGCAAUUUUGAGCUGCCGACUCUAACAUCAUCAGUUAUCAAAUGUGUUAAAGAAAGAAAAUGCUGCAAGAAUGAAAAUGUGCUAUAUAUAGUCGAGUGCCACAAAUGCAGAAUUAAGCUGUGUAGAUAACAAGAAUUGCAUCAGUUGGAAAAGGAGGACAAACCGUUUUUUUUCUUUUUUAAUCAAGAUGGUAGCUUGAUGGUAUUCAAUUGUCUCAUCUCGGUUUCUUACACCUCCUUCUUUGUUCUAUAGCAUCCUUCUCCUCCUUCUUUGUUCUAUAGCAUCCUUCUCCUCCUUCUUUGUUCUAUAGCAUCCUUCUCCUCCUUAGAGUAAGGCAAAACUAGGCUUUGUGUAUAAGGAAAGGCAUGAUAAACUUCUAUGUUUUGAUCUCGAAAUGGAAUAUCAACAUAUGCAGCAUUAUCUGGGUUGUAGCGUACCGACUUGGUGCCAGUUGACACUAAAACUUCACCGUCCUCUGACCGGCACAAUGGUCUAGAAAUCCCGCCAGGAUUAUUAAUCAGGAUAGCGAACUGCAUUUUCCACGAUUCUGUAACCCCAUAUAUCUCCAUCAUCCAAACAUCUGUAUGACCAUUAUCCACAGAACAAAGUAAACAAAGCUUUUCUUGGUAAACCUCCAAGACUGGCUCAAACAAAGAUUCAGAAUCUUCAUCACAUUUAAUUUCAGGUUUCUUCAUCUGUUCAGGUUUCUCUAUCCGUCCAUACGUCUCUGUUGUUAAAUCAAGGGAAACAAUAUCUCCACCAGCUUCUGCCUCCAGUGACCAAUGCAACUUCCCAUUCACAAAUGUACCAUCUACCCCCAGCGGAGGAUAACCACCUUGAAAAUCCCCUAUACGCUUCCAAAUUCCUUUCUUGGUGCUGUAGACCUUAACCUUAACCUUAACCUUAGGGACUUCGCCAUCCAUGGCCGUAGCAGCGCCUUGGUCAGCCUCGUACGCCACCGCUACUACUUUGUGAUCAUCCUCAAUCUUGUCAUAUCCAAAACCCCAUGAAAAUAUUAAGUACGUCACAACCGGUAAACCUUUAUCUUCCUCUACCCUAAUGCCUAAAUCCGGUACGAUCUUUGAUUUUCGAGUAGAUGGGUUCCACAAAAUUAUUUUAGUUCCGUCAAAGACAAUACAAACUAAUCCAUUACAGCAGCCCACAACUCUGACACCAGUAAAGGGAUUUUUAAAUGGUGGAUAAUUAAUGUCAACAGUUUCAGUAGUUGGUGCACACAAUAACGAGCUAAGAGAACACUGUUUGAGACGGCAUAAGUUAGGAUCCCACCACAAAAUAAGCACCCUUCGGCUGUCUGUUAAGCUAUUGAUCAAUUUUAGAUGGGCUCUGAUGAAUAUCGGGUCGUCAAUUAAUUCCCUCGCUUGCUUUGAAGCGCAACUGAAUUGCACGAGGUAUUUCAAUGGCAGCCCGGAGAGGAUCUUACACUGGACGUCAAAGGGAAGGUCGAAAAGGUUCUCAGGAGGGGAUCGCUUCUCGAAAAGGGAAGGAGGGGAUCGCUUCGGGAAUGCAAGUAUGUUUCCCAUCUGUUUUAAGUGAUUUGCUUUUCGGUUGGAGGAUCUUUUUGCUGCCAAGAAAGGAAGAAAUAGCUGGGCUAGUGUUUCAGAGGAUGCAUAUGACCUGUUGACUUUCCCGGUACCGGCAAAGACUCCGAGCGGGUUGAAGGCCGCCGGGCAAGUCAGUUGGACUACUGAGACUGGGAGUGCCAAAUUCAGUGUCCUUACGACUACUUAUGUCACAUGAUGUCAAGAAAAUUUAAAAUGAACAACACGUGCAAACUUAAAUAAUAUGACAGUUGGUAUAAAUAUAAAAAGGGAUAAUUUCAGAAACCUUCUUGAGAUUUUUAAUAAUUUCAUUUAGCUCCUUUAAAAUUUUAAAAAUUACACAUACCUCCCUUAUCAUUUCAAAUAAUAACACUGUCCUUAAAUAUUUUAAUGAAAUUCCCUUGUUUGUUAUGCUUAUACUAAGUAUACAUGACUUUUAAAAUUAUUUUUUCAUUCUUUUUCCUUCUUAUUCCUUUUUUUUUUUAAAUUUUUUUGCCAUUAAAACUAUAGAGCUACCACUAUUACCUCUAGUUUCUAUUGUAUCCAAAUAUCGAACUAGUGAUUUUUUUGAUGAGUUAACUUAUAUGUAAUUUAAUAUUUUUGCUGAUCUUUGUUUUCUAUUUUUUUGGUAUUAAAAUUAAUAAAAAAAUAAAAAAGAAAUGACCCAAAACUACUACUAAAUUAUGAUAAUUUCACUACUCGAAAAAUUCAUAAAUUCAAAAUAAAUUAUUUCAACAUUUUAUUUUCUAUCUUCUAAAUCUAAAUCCACAAUAAAAUAUCAUCAAAAAGACCUAUCAUAGUGAUAAAUUUAUUAAUAUAAUUAUUUAUUAAAUAAUUGGUAUGGACAUGAAAAAAUUUGGCACAUUUUCCUUAAAAUUAUACUAGAUAAUCUUAUAAUUGUAUAAGGAAAUAAAUUAAAACUCAUUAUACAAAGGUAUUUUUCGGUAUUCAUUCAAAAAUUUGAUCAAGUCAAUAUUAUUUUAAGAUUUUGUUAUUAUAACUAUCCAAUCAAAGGAGAUAGGUGUAAUUUUGUUACUAAAACGUAAGUGUAAUAUUUUUUUUAAAAAUAUGAAAUACGCUUAUAAAAUUUAGAUUUUCGCAGGCUCUAGUAAUUUCUAGAUUGAACAUUGAUAGAUUGAGAGUAAUUUGUAGCUUUUAAUUAUGUAUCCAUUGUCACAUUAAGAGUAAUUAUAGUAAUUCACAGUCAUUUGUAAACGAUCUCUGUCAUUUUCUUGGGAGUUCCUUUUUUGACUUUUUAAAUAACUCCUCACAUUAACCCAUCCCGCAAAGUACCCAAAGUGUGUGUACGUAAUCUAGGCCGGUCUCGGCGUCUGCUCUUACCUUACAGAAACAAUAUACAACUACAAGUACGUAUGUACUACUAAUCAAUGCUAACCAAACAACUACACUUAAAAUAGUUGUGAUCAAUAGUAUCUUAACGCUCUAUUUGGGCCUACAUUCAAAUUCAGACUUUUCAGUAAGUGAUUAAGUCACCCCGCGUCCUCUCUUAACCUCUUUGGAUUCCUCUAAUAUGAGUGUGUUCGAUUGUAAAUUAUUUGAGAUAAUUUUGUGAAAAAAUACUGUAGUACUUUUUGAUAUGAUUUAUGUGGGAUAAAAAGGUGAUUCGAAAAUGUGUUGAUAAUAUAAGCAAAUCAGUGUGUGUAAAUAAGGUAUAAAUAAAGUGAAAUAAUUGACAAUCUAGACACACUCAUAGAGUAAAUCUUUCUUUCACUGACGAUGUAUGAGUAAAUCCUACAUGUAGAUCUGAUUACAAGAAUACUGUUUUUUAUCUAACUAUGUAAACUUAGCCAGUUGAACUAGCUCAUAUAUCUAAGGUUAAUGAGUGUAGAAAACUAAUGAGGAAUAAGUUCUUGAUUUUAUAUGUAGAUUCAGCCAAUAGAGGAGAUUGAUUACCACAUAAAAUACUCUAGUAAUGAGAUGUGAAACCUGUAGGCUGUAAUAAUUAAAGUUUGUUUGUCAUAUAUCCUCCAUCAUGAAUAGAUUCCUGAGCCAAGUCAUUCUUUUCAUUCCAUGAAUAAAAUUGGAAAGGAACACAGUCUGCAUUAUUUUGUUCUCUCUAUAUUUAUAUGCCAUUACAGCAAUUAUAUAGUCUCUAUCCUAACCAGGAUUUUUUUUUUCCUGAUCUUCCCGUCUCAGUCUUUAAUGUUGCAGACUAAGAGGCAAUUUGGUGAGUGCUGACUGGACACACACACACACUUCCUGCUCAUUGCACAACAAACAUCAAGAAGCAAAAUUUCUUUCCAUUUGGGAACAACGGCGGCCAGCAGAACAUUUUCUUAAGGUUUUUUUAUGAUAAAGUGCUUGUGUUCAAUUCCAGCGCUUGAAUACAAAACCUCAUUUUGUCGCACCAAGCAUCCACCCUUUUGUGUUGAGAUUCAAAUUAUAUGUUUAGUUUUGCCCAAGCGAUCAUGGAAACAAUUUUGGAAAUAAUAGAUCAGCAAUCAAUUUCAACCCAGGGGAAGGCUAUGUUCUUGUUUUCUCUCGUGAUUUUCUUGUGGAGUGCUUUUUAGUCUUGCCAACCUCACCACUUACUGACCAGAAAUCCAUGGUGUACUUGCGUUGUGCUUUAAUCGGCCCUUCAACAUGUCAUAAUUUGUGAUCUCGUGAAACCUGAAUGAUGCAUCAUCUGGAUUAUAGGGAAAAAACUGAUCCAGAAAGCAACAAAAUGUUUCGCCCUUCUCUAAUAGGCAGAAUGCUGGUGAUCAAGCAUUCAACACCAGAACCAUUUCAUAGAGGCAGAACAAGUGCUUCAUUCCAUAGUCUUUCAUCCUAUACUCAUUCAUCAACCAUAUGCUGCCUGCACUACUUGCAUUACCGUCCUAAAGCAGACAAAGAAUGCCUCCCAAACUCCUUAUGCUAAACCACAACCACCAUCCUCCUUUCAUAAUUAGGUAGCUUCCCGAAAUCAAUGUACAGAAGGCCAAAUCAAAGCAGCCAAUAAACCUUCCCGUGUGCAACAACAUGCCUGAGCAGUCCAAACGAACCCAGAGCUCUUGUAAACCCCCGUAAGACUUCAUAAUCAUCGCCGGACUCAUCAUAAAUAAAUCGAAAAGUAUACUCCUAAUUAGGCUAAACUGGAAAACCAGACCUGGUCGACUGCUUAAAUUUUCUAAAAUCACGGGUCCCAGAGAGAUAAAUCAUCCCUAUCCUGAAUAUAUACAUCAACUCAAAGCAAAAACACGAGAAAUUUGUUUCAUUGGGUGUCAAUGUCAAUUACAUUGGUGAUUGGUGCAGUUGGUAAAGAUUGAAAAGUACCGUCCUUGAAACAAACAAUUGGUCAGCAAUUGCUAAACAUGAGCUUAAGAUGGCUCUAAUCAUGCUUAUCUAGGGAAAUUUUGAGGAGGAAGGAGAAGGAGAGCGAGGAGGAGGGAGAAGGAGGGAGGUGGCGGUGGCGGUGGCGGCGGCGACGGUGGAGGGAGAUGGGUGGUGGUGGGUAGUAUUUUGAGAUGUUGUGUUGUUUAGAGUUAUGACUAUAGAUUUGAAAGACAAAAUUGGUUUAUCAGAAACAUCGCCGAAGUUUUUUAGGCGCACUCCAAUUUUGAGAGAGACUUUACUUGGGAGUCUUUAGAGCAUUUAAGCGAUGAGUUUACAGGGAAGCUCUGAAACUGGGAAAUGUUCAGAUUUUGGGUGGGAGUGGAGGAAACUCAGAGUCUGGCAUUUGUGCCUUAAGUUGGGUUUGUUUGAUUACAGCAGGUUGAAGUUCUUUCUCUCGCCAUGGUGAGGUCUGCUUUGGCUGGAGUUCGCAGCAACCAGGCAAAGAGCUUUGAGCUUCAACGGGCUUUGUACCUCUGUUUUCUUGUUCUAGUUUGGACAAGUUUACCUGUUUUCUUGAACUACAAAUUGUUCAAGGCCUAAUAAGAUAGCAGUACUAGGGAAUUACUGGCGUUCUCCUGGUACAAAGUUCUUUUUUCUACUAUGGACGUCAUAGUAUCAACAAAAGUUACAGUGAUUUGGAGCUAAAUUACACUUUUGCAUCAUGAAUUAACUGUCAAAGAAUAACCACUCGAAUGUAUGCAAUUUUAACAUCGCACAAAAGUGAACAUGAAGCCAGAAGAGAGAUUAGUCCCCCUAAUUCUUGUGUCGUUGUAUUCCCAUUUUCAAUGACGGAGCCAAGGGGGCUGAGGGGGGCUAAGUUGUGAAAAUUUUAAUUCAUAAUAUGUAAAUAUAUGUAUAAGACAAAGUUGGUCCCCGUAAUGUAAAAAAUGUUACAGUAAUCAUUUCAAAUAAUACUCUAUCCAAAUAAUAUUCCAUUUCAAGAUCAAAACAUAAAAGGUUAUCAUGCCUUUCCUUGUACACAAAGCCUAGUUUCGCCUUACUCUGAGGAGGAGAAGGAGGCCAUGAGACAAAAGAGGGGGCAAAAGAAAGGGAAAAUCGUCCAAAACGUCCUUCACAUUUUGUAAAAUAACUUUUUUCGUCCCUCACUUUUAAAAGUGUAAUUUUAUAUCCCUUACAUAUUCACAUCGGACAAAUUUAGUCCCUAACUAGGUUUCCGAUCAUUUUUUGGCCGGAAUCCAUCAUGUGCAAGGCACAUGAUCAUUUUUGAAGAGUAAAUUAUAUUUUACAUAAUCUCAUCUAUAGUCCUCCACAUUUUAUAAAAUAAAUUUUUUCGUCCCUCACAUUUUAUAAAAUGAUUUUUUUCAUCCCUCACAUUUCACAAAAUGAAUUUCUUCAUCUCUCACAUUUCACAAAAUGAAUUUUUCAUUUCUCACUAAUUAUGUGUGUGAAUACAUUUUUUUAAACACACAUAUAUGUCUAUUUGAUUUUGCUUAAUAAUAAUAGUAUAAACACAUGUAUGUAAUUCGGCUCAACUUGUGGGCUAUUUUCUUUUUUUUUGUAUGAUUAUGACUAAUAUUUACCAAUAGAAUCUUAAUUUGCAUAUUCUUAUUGUAUUUUGACCGAAAAUAGCUUUAUUGGCUAAUUUGACAAUGAAUGCAAGAUUAUUUAUUAGCUAAUACCAGAUGAAAUCAAAUGAUCACGUAUAAUAUAUGGUAUUCGUAUUGUUAAGUGAAAUCAAAUAGACACAUACAUAUAUUUAUACUAUUCGGAUUAUUAAGCAAAAUCAAAUAGACAUAUACUUGUGUUUAAACAAAAUAUAUUCACACACAUUUUUUUUAGGGUUUCCCUCACAUACAUAAUUAGUGAGGGAUGAAAAUAUUCAUUUUUUGAAAUGUGAGAGAUGGAGAAAUUCAUUUUGUGAAAUAUGAGGGAUGAAAAAAUCAUUUUAUAAAAUGUGAGGGAUGAAAAAAUUUGUUUUAUAAAAUGUGGAUGACUAUAGAUCAGAUUAUGUAAAAUAUAAUUUGACAAAUUUACCCUUCAAAAAUGAUCACGUGCAAGGCACGUGAUGGAUUCCGGCCAAAAAAUGAUCGGAAACCUAGUUAGGGACUAAAUUUGACCGAUGUGAAUAUGUAAGGGACAUAAAAUUGCACUUUUAAAAGUAAGGGAUGAAAAAAGUCAUUUUACAAAAUGUGAGGGACGUUUUGGACGAUUUUCCCCAAAAGAAACAGAUAUGAGACGAAUGAAUACCAUCAAGCUACCAUCAAGCUGCUUGGCUAGACAAAAAAGAAUACCAUCAAGCUACCAUCUUGAUAGAAAAAAAAAGGUUUGUCCUCCUUUUCCAACUAAUGCAAUUCUUGUUAUCUACAAAGCAUAAUUCUGCAUUUUGUGACACUCGACUACAUAUAGCACAUUUUCAUUGUUGCAGCAUUUUCUUUCUUUUUAACACAUUUGAUAACUGAUGAUGUUAAGAGUCAGCAGCUCAAAAUUGCAUUAAAAAAAGCGUUUGGAUUACAAGAUUUUUUAAAAAAAAAAUUUAAUUUUGUUUUGCUUGCAUCACACACACAAUUUUCAACCACCUUUGUAUUUUACAUGUAUCACAUCACAAAAAAUCACAAAAAGUGUUACAGGAUUCAUCUCAAAUAAAUAUUUCAAAUAACUUCCCAUAAUUAUUUUUUGUGUGUUUAUUCAUUUUCUUGUUUAUUUUAUGUUAUCUCUGUAUAGGCAAAAUCACAUACACCAGAUAAGGGGAAUGCCUAACCAUCAAAUUCCCUGUACAACCAUGAAAUAAAGUAUCAGCAUCUAUACAAGAAAGCAUGAGAUGGUGAAGCUACUUCCAUGAUCACAAAUUGAAGCUAAAUCAGCAUACAUUUUGCAACAGGUGGACCCUUUAAUUGGUGUCAAUCUCGUUCACUUGCCAACUUUAAGGUAAAAUGGGUAGUGAUGGAGCCAGGAGUUUUUACUUGGGAGGCCAAAAUUUUUUCGAACAAAAUUAUCUUAAUAUGUUAUGUUCAAAAUAAUUUUUAUUUAUUUAAAUAUGUAACAUCUUAAAAUAUCAAACAUUAAUUUUAUGUAUAAAGGUAUGUCUAUUUCAUAAAUAUGUAACAUAGUCAUAACUAAAUUAAGACAAGAAAUAACAUUUGAUUAAAUAUCUUAUAACAUCACAAAUCACCUAAGUUGCACAUUAUGAAAAGACGUUCCAAUAUGUCACUUGCGCAAAAACAAAAAUAUAACGAUGCAAUAUAAAUAUAACUAUUUUCAAUUUAAAAAAGAUAAAAGUUAUGUUAAUAUACCUUGAAAUUUCAUCCUCUUUUAUUAAAAGUAAAUUGAGAUUUACAUUCUUUUAUAGAACUAAAUUCAUGUAUAAUUGAAUCAAUGCUAAAUUUUUGAACAACUUCCUUUUUUUAUGUACAUUGUUAGGCAAUCAUUCAAGAAAUUAUCUUUUAUCUUGUUUUGGAGCUUUGUUUUGAUUAUAUUCAUAAUUGAAAAUGUCCAUUCUAUAGUUGCAGUUGACAUAGGAAGAGUGAGAACAAAUAAUUGUCAACAACAGGAUAGAUCACUCAAUUUCUUGUCUUCACCAAGCCUUCAAGUAAUUAUUUGUAUAUUUGUAUAUGGGUCAACAAGAGUAUAGAUCACUAAUUUUAAAUUUUUUAUCAAUUAGGCUAAGUUGUAUAUUUGUAUAUGGACCAAUAAAAUAAUUAUUUUUGUUUUAGCUCAUUGAUAAUUAUGAAUUGAGUCUUUUAUUAUAAUAUAUCAAAUUGGGUCAAUUUACUAUGGAUUAUCAAAUUAUAUAUUUUAUUUUUUGAAUGUUAAAUAAUUAGCACAAUAAAAAUAAAUAACUUUUUUUGAAGAAAAAAUUAAAUCAAAGAUGGCUGAUUCAUACACACACACACACAUAUAUAUAAACUCUAUCGGAAUAUAAACUAAAAUCGUAAAAAAUUAGAGAAGGCCAACUUUGUCUUAUACAUAUAUUUACAUAUUAUGAAUUAAAAUUUUCAAAACUUAGGGCCAUAGCCUUCCUCAGCCCCCUUGGCUCCGUCAUUGGUACUAGUGGUGUACAUGGAUCCCGAAGGCGUUAAGUUUAAGGUCUAUAGUUCCAAGGAUGGAACCUGGAAGACUAUAGAGUAUUUUCAAGGUGGUUGCCCUCCGGUGGGGUACUGUGGUAAGUUUGUGAAUGGGAAGUUGCAUUGGUCACUGGAAGGAGAUGCUGGUGGAUAUAUUAUUGAUUCUCUUGAUUUAGCAACAGAGAUGUAUGGACGGAUAGAGAAACCUAAAAAUUGGCUGUGAUGAAGAUUCUAAAUCUUUGUUUAAGCCAACCUUGGAUGUUUUCCAAGAACUCCUUUGUUUACUUUAUCUUGCUAAUGAUGGUCGUACAGAUGUUUGGGUUAUCAACACAGGGGUAUCGAGUAGAGAUGGCAACGGGGCGGGGUUGGGGCUGGGGAGAGGCGGGGUUGGGGCGGGGGACCUCUCCCCCGCCCCCCGCCCCGUUGCCUAUUAGUUCCCCCCGUCCCCCGCCUCCCCCCGCCCCCACCCCGCCUUGCCCCGCUUCUCCCGCGGGGUUAAUAUAAUUUUAUUAUAAUUAAAUUUUAAUAAAUAACCAAGUACUAAAAUAUCAACACAUCACCAAAUUAUUAUUCAUUGUAAUUUUACAAUUGAAACUCAUAAAAAUAAUCAAACAGAAGAUAUUUGAAUACUAUCCAAUAUGAUGAAAUAAAUAUAACUAAAAUAAUCAAGUUUUCACUUUUAGUACAAAUGCAAUCACUAAUUCAUUAUUGUGUUUGUACUUUUUUUUGAGAAAAAAGUGUUAUUCUAUUAAGCGUAAUUAGAAAUUUAGUAUAAAUGUAUUAGUAAAUUUAGUACAACUAAUUAAUAAAUUCUAUUAGUAGACAUCUAUAAUUAUUCAUAUAUCAAUUAUAUUACAUAAACUAAUAUACAUUAUAUAAUACAUCUAACUAAUAAUAUCAUUAUUAUAAGUUUAUAACUAAUUAACUUACAUAUUAUAUAUAUUUAUAUACAUAUAUAUAUUUUUUGUUUUGCGGGUGACGGGGCGGGGGUAUACUCCCCCGCCCCGUUUCUAAGCGGGGGGAAAAAAUUCCCCCCCCCCGCCCCGUGAGCCCCCGCGCGGGCACCCGCCCCCAUUGCCAUCCCUAGUAUCGAGUCAUUGCCGGACUAAUCCCCUGGGCUGUACAGAGUCCCGCCCAAGAAUGUACAGCAAUUUCGUGCAGCAAAAUUCGAACUAGUGACUUACGAGAUACUACCGCAUGUGGUCACCAACCGAGCUCCCUGUUGGGGGCUAAAGUUAGUUAGACUACUGGGUGCCAAAUUUCUACUACUUAUGUCACAUGAGGUUUUUAGAAACCUCCCUUGAGGUUUUUAAUAAUUUCCUUUAGCUCCUUUAACAUUUUAAAAAUUACACGUACUUCCCUUGUCAUUUAAAAUAAUAAUACUGCUCUUAAAUAUUUUAAUAAAAUUCCCUUGUUUGUUAUGCUUAUACUAAGUAUAAUGACUUUUAAAAUUAUUUUUUCAUUCUUUUUCCUUCUUAUUAUUUUUUUUAAAAAAAUUUUUUUGCCAAUAAAACAAUAGAGCUAUCACUAUUAUCUCUAGUUUCUAUUAUAUCUAAAUAUCGAACUAGUGAUUUUUUUGAUGAGUUAAAUUAUAUGUAAUCUAAUAUUUUUGCUGAUCUUUGUUUUCUAUUUUUUUUGGUAUUAAAAUUAAUAAUAAUAAAAAAGAAAUGGCCCAAAACUACUACUAAAUUAUGAAAAUUUCACUACUCGAAAAAUUCAUAAACUCUAAAUAAAUUAUUUCAACAUUUUAUUUUCCAUCUUCUAAAUCUAAAUCCGUAAUAAAAUAUCAUCAAAAGUAUCCUACCAUGGUGAUAAAAUUAUUAUUAUUAUUUUUUUAUUAAAUAGUUGGUAUGGACAUGAAAAAUUUGGCACAUUUUCCUUAAAAUUAUACACGAUAAUCUUAUAAUUGUAUAAGAAAAUAAAUUAAAACUGAUUACACAAAGGCACUUUUGGGUAUUCAUUUAAAAAUUUGACCAAGUCAAUAUUAUUUUAAGAUUUUGUUAUUAAAACUAUCAAAUCAAGAGAGAUAGGUGUAAUUUUGUUACUAAAACGUAAGUGUAAUAUUUUUUUUUUUAAAUAUGAAACAAACUUAUAAAAUUUUAGAUUUUUGCAGGCUCUACUAGUUUCUAGAUUGAACAUUGAUAGAUUGAAAGUAAUUUGUAGCUUUUAAUUAUGUAUCCAUAGUCACAUUGAGAGUAAUUCAUAGUCAUUUGUAAACGAUCUCUGUCUUUUUCUUGGGAGUUCUUUUUUAACUUUUUAAAUAACUCCUCACAUUAACCCAUGCCGCAAAGUAUCCAAAGUGUGUGCGCGCAACUAACGUAGGGCGUCUUCUCACACUUGACAGAAACUAUAUAUCAAUACAACCACUUUAGUACCACUAAUCAAUGCUGACCAACCAACGACAAUUAAAAUAGUGGCGAUCAUUAUCAAUAGAGUCUCAACGCUUUAUUUGGACCUGCAUUCAAAAUUCAGACUUUUCAGAAAAGUGAUUAAGUCACCCGAUUCCUCUCUUAACCUCUUUGGAUUCCAACAACACAGUACUACCUCCGUCCCACUUUAAUAGUUCUGUUUCUUUUUUCACACAGUUUAAGAAAAAAUAGUUAAUUUUGUUGAAAAAAUAAAUUUAGAUUGCUAUUUUUCUAAAAUAUCCUCAUAUAAAAUAUGGUACAACUUUAUGGGAACUUGAAUUGAUGGUAACAAAAGAAUCAACUCUCAUUAAAUGGGAUAGAUUUAUAGUAACAACUACUUACAUUGAAUAAGAGUAUUUUAGGAAAAUUAAAAUACAGCUAUAUUCUUCAAUUGAAAAGUGGACUAUAAUUUGGGACAGAUGAAAAAGAAAUACAGGACUAUCAAAAUGGGAGGGAGAGAGUAUUAGAUAAAAGAUAGUUGUAUAAUAGAAUUUAUCGUAUUAAAAAAAAAAAAUCAAUGCUGGCCGUCUUGGGUUUGGACUACUGUUCAUAAAAUGUAGAGGUGUCAAAAUGGGUGACUUGGACGGAUUGGGGUUGGGUAAAAUGGGUAAUGGAUAUAAGUGAGUCAAUUCAUUUAUACCCAUUUAAUUAGAUGGGUAUAAAUGGGUAAGUCAAAAAAUGAAUUGGGUAACCCAAUUACCCAUUUAUAGCUCAUUUAUUUUAAUUUUUUGCAAACUCAUUUAAAUUCAUUUUUGCAAACUAAGUUAUCAAUUUAUACCACUCUUUGUACCCAUCAUUAGUUUUAAAUAUUUAUUUAUAAUGCUCAAUAAACUUAAUUACCAAUUUUUUUUCAUUUAUACUCUAUGUCACAAAAUUACCUAUUAUUUAAUAAUUGAAUAAUAUGAAUAUAAAAAUUUGAAUUAAGUACUAUAAAAAUUAAUAUAAAAACUUAAUCCAAAAAUUUUGAACCCCUAACAUUUUUUUCAUAUAUAAAUUUAAAAUUUUAUUUUAUAAAGAUAAGAAAAUAGGCUAAAAUUUAUCAUAAAUUGGUAAUGUUAAAAAAUGAACAAGUUAACAAACUAAGAAAAAAUAAAAUAAUAAGAUAAAACCAACAAAUAAUAAUAAUAAUAAUAAUAAUAAUAAUAAUGUUAACAUCAUGACAAAAUGAAAAAUUUGAAAAAAAAAAGGGUAGGGGAAAAGAAGAGACUUGGGGGGAAGAGAAUUUUAAAUAUGUUAAUUGGGUUUGAUGGGUUAUCCAAUAAUACCCAUUUAUUAAAUGGGUAUUAUUGGGUAACCCAUUUAUACCUAUAUACAAAAAUUUAAGAUACCCAUACCCAUCUAUUCAUGGAUGGGUAUGGGUAAAUCUAGUUAAGUGGAUUGAUUUGCCACCUCUAAUAAUAAAAUGACUUAAAAGUGGAGGAGAGGGCUGAAAGAAUUGCGGAGGCCGAAAGAGGCUGUGUAAAAAUCGCUUGGUAUCUUUGCAGUAGUCAUAGGGCAUGCAUUUUUGUCCGAUCCAAUUCAUCUGUCCUAGUUUGGCAAAGUUGAGUUGAGCAUAUGCUGGAGAUGUCCACCACCAGUUGCCAGGGAAAGGCAGGGCACAUUGCUAAGUGGUCCAUUCCAUGUGCAAGCCCUUGGUCUAAAAUUGCGGAUUCUAAGUCAGUCGCUAUGGUGCAAAUUCUAAAUCUGCACGGUAGCGACUGACAACUUAUUUUAAUUGUCGGCCGCUAUCGUGCGCAGUCAGCAUGGUAGCGAUUGGAUUGAUGGUUUUAUAAAAAAAAUUUUCAGUCGCUAUUAGUUUUGUGCAUAACCCUUGUCAGACAUACAUUUUAUCGAAUUUUUUUUUUUGGUAUAUUCUGAGAAAUUAGGUCAUUCCAAUUAGGUCGCUCCAACCGAAUUUUGGACAAUGAUGAAAUAAAAGUCUCAUUUGAUAGUUACUUUUAAGAGUUUUUAUAAAAAAAUUUAUUAUUAUACUCGAAGUUAAAAAAAAAAAAAAUUGAGAAAGUACUAUAUCAUAACCAUACCAUCUCCGUCAUAGCUUUUAGUGACUUAUUCAUUAGUCAUUUUUAUAUCGGGGGAGUGGUUAAAUUUCAAUUGCCAUUGGAACUCGUGGGAGAAAGUUUUGUGAUAUUUUCUUUUUAAUCGGAAAUGUACGAGUAAAUUUGUUGUAUCUUCAUAUCACGUAGGAUUGAAUACAUUAAUUAAUGUUUGUUUGGAUAAAAGUUUAUUUGGAUGAUUUAUUUGAGAUAAUUACUGUAGCAUUUGUUGUGAUAUGAUAUAUGUGAGAUAAAAAAGUGAUUGGAAAGAUAAAAAUGUGAUUGAAAUUUAUGAAGCAAAUUAUUUUUUUUCAAUCUAUCUCAAUCCAAACACAAACUAUGUGAAAAAACGUAGUACACCUACAAAACAGUAAAAUAGUCUUGCUGUGUCACACGGGGCGAAAUUCAAUGCCUUCGACAAUAAGGCCCGACUUCCCAUGAAGGCUAAUAAUCUCUAUCAGUCGAGCCUCCACCUGACCAUCAUCUCCUCUAUCAGUAUAAAACUUCCCCAGUUCUAAUUCCAUCCAGCCAUCUGUUCUCAUUUUGGGAAACUUUCCACCAAAUUCUGCUGGAUGAUUCAUACCUUCCCUUGAUACAAGAUGGACAGGUGCAGCUCUUCUUUUGGCCUCACCGUCACUCUCAUGGUUUACAAAUCUGAUUAAACUUGUUGCUUUUUCAAUCCCAUAAUACUCCUCUGCUAUCUUGAACACUAGGAAAGCUGCAUAAGUGGUACCAGUAGACAACAUUUGACUUUCUAUCCUGCCUCUGAUAUCCAGCCAACAAACAGCCUUAAGCUUGGCAACCUCUCUGAAUCUGCGAAUGCAAAAGAUUGGCACAUUAUAAUCACACUAGCAAAGGGGUUUGGGUGUGGGGGUGAUUGGAGAUAUGAUGAGGAAGAACCUUGAGUCAGGACGAGAUAUCCAAUGCCAGUACCAUGGAUCUCUUGCCCAGGCAAUGAUGAGUUCUCUAGCCCCAACCAUAUAACAUUUCUUUCCACUCCUUUUAUCAACUGAAAAGCCCUGUUCAAAAGUUCAAACCAAAUGGUCGCCAAGGGAAAAUGGAAAACCACAGAAUUACAAGUUAUAGCCGGAAAUGUAACAGAAAGGGGCGUUAACCGUGCAUGUAAGGUUUGUGGGAUCUAAGAGAACUGAUAGAAGUUGGAUGAGUGUGAUUAAAUUGCAGAGUUCUGAACAGGAGGCAAUUUGAUCACAAAUUUUGAGUCCGGACCACAUUGUUUUAUGUUGCCUUAAAUAUUCUUAAUAGCAGCGUGCAUUACGGAAGAGACGAAUCCUCUAUGGUUCUCCUUUCAUUUUAACACUUCUUCAUACAACCGGAGGAUGCCUUUCUUAAUUCCUACUUGGAUCAGGCUAAUUUUACUUCUGUCUUAGCUAUAACAGCACAAACAUUUGAUCAAGGUUUCAAGCACAAGAAAGAGUACAAACAUAUAAAUAAAAAAAAAAAUGCAUCACAUUAGACACAAUGAUUACUCUUGUCAAGUUUGAGAGCAAGAUAUUACUUCAAUGUCAAUGCAAAUAAGUUUUAAGUAUCAAAGAAAUCAAGAAAAUAAGAACUCAAUAAACAGUUAAUAUGGUAUCUCUAAGCUUUAUUUUUAACAUUUCACCUUAAAAGCUUACCCCAACAACUUUGCUAUAUGUAUUGAAUUGUCACAAAUUGUAAUUUUCUGAGCAAAUUCAUACUUCCAAAGAAUACCGGGGACUGUUGCCAUAACUUUACCUACUAGUCAGCCAAAAUCAAAUCAUAGAGAACAAUUUAUUAACUACAAAAUCCGAUAACAGAAACGGAUAAG
RNAcentral lists this long non-coding RNA (24114 nucleotides) under Coffea arabica (coffee). Its description in RNAcentral is "long non-coding RNA (CARA_LNC002131)". The record is from RNAcentral. Lineage: Eukaryota; Viridiplantae; Streptophyta; Magnoliopsida; Gentianales; Rubiaceae.